ACGCUUCUCCGAAAGAUGCUUGCAUCUUUCAUAUGAGAAGAGUGGCGGACGGGUGAGUAACACGUGGGUAACCUGCCCUUCAGCGGGGGAUAACAUUUGGAAACAGAUGCUAAUACCGCAUAAUUGGUUUUGCCGCAGGGCAAAACUAUGAAAGACGCUUUACGGUGUCACUGAAGGAUGGACCCGCGCUGCAUUAGUUAGUUGGUGAGGUAAUGGCUCACCAAGACCGUGAUGCAUAGCCCACCUGAGAGGGUGAUCGGCCACACUGGGACUGAGACACGGCCCACACUCCUACGGGAGGCAGCAGUAGGGAAUCUUCGGCAAUGGACGAAAGUCUGACCGAGCAACGCCGCGUGAGUGAAGAAGGUUUUCGGAUCGUAAAACUCUGUUGUUAGAGAAGAACAAGUGGGAGAGUAACUGUUCCCACCUUGACGGUCUCUAACCAGAAAGCCACGGCUAACUACGUGCCA
This 470-nucleotide ribosomal RNA is filed under the name uncultured bacterium. RNAcentral describes it as "bacterial SSU rRNA". It matches the Rfam family "Bacterial small subunit ribosomal RNA", at positions 66 to 510 of the family's 1533-position model. The record is from RNAcentral.